RNAcentral lists this ribosomal RNA (303 nucleotides) under uncultured bacterium. Its description in RNAcentral is "partial 16S ribosomal RNA". It matches the Rfam family "Bacterial small subunit ribosomal RNA", at positions 507 to 807 of the family's 1533-position model. The record is from RNAcentral.
AGCAGUAGCCGCGGUAAUACGAAGGGUGCAAGCGUUACUCGGAAUUACUGGGCGUAAAGCGUGCGUAGGUGGUGGUUUAAGUCCGUUGUGAAAGCCCUGGGCUCAACCUGGGAAUUGCAGUGGAUACUGGCGAGCUAGAGUGUGUCAGAGGAUGGUGGAAUUCCCGGUGUAGCGGUGAAAUGCGUAGAGAUCGGGAGGAACAUCAGUGGCGAAGGCGGCCAUCUGGGACAACACUGACGCUGAGGCACGAAAGCGUGGGGAGCAAACAGGAUUAGAUACCCCAGUAGUCCCUGUCUCUUAUAC